GGGAAUCUACCUUUUGCUACGGAAUAACUCAGGGAAACUUGUGCUAAUACCGUAUGUGUCCUUCGGGAGAAAGAUUUAUCGGCAAAGGAUGAGCCCGCGUUGGAUUAGCUAGUUGGUGGGGUAAAGGCCCACCAAGGCGACGAUCCAUAGCCGGUCUGAGAGGAUGGCCAGCCACAUUGGGGCUGAGACACGGCCCAAACUCCUACGGGAGGCAGCAGUGGGGAAUCUUGCGCAAUGGGCGAAAGCCUGACGCAGCCAUGCCGCGUGAAUGAUGAAGGUCUUAGGAUUGUAAAAUUCUUUCACCGGGGACGAUAAUGACGGUACCCGGAGAAGAAGCCCCGGCUAACUUCGUGCCAGCAGCCGCGGUAAUACGAAGGGGGCUAGCGUUGCUCGGAAUUACUGGGCGUAAAGGGCGCGUAGGCGGACAUUUAAGUCAGGGGUGAAAUCCCGGGGCUCAACCUCGGAACUGCCUUUGAUACUGGGUGUCUUGAGUGUGAGAGAGGUAUGUGGAACUCCGAGU
Molecule: ribosomal RNA, 520 nt
Filed under: uncultured bacterium
Lineage: Bacteria
Description: bacterial SSU rRNA
Rfam family: Bacterial small subunit ribosomal RNA
Source: RNAcentral